Molecule: long non-coding RNA, 543 nt
Organism: Neofelis nebulosa (Clouded leopard)
Lineage: Eukaryota; Metazoa; Chordata; Mammalia; Carnivora; Felidae
Exons: 2
Source: RefSeq, a predicted model, not a curated record
GUUUAUUUAUUUUUGACAGAGAGACAGAGUGUGAGGGGGGGAGGGGCAGAGAGAGAGGGAGACACAGAAUCCGAAGCAGGCCCCAGGCUCCAAGCUGGGGCUCGAACUCACAGACCGCGAGAUCAUGACCUGAGCCAAAGUCAGACGUUCAACCGACUGAGCCACCCAGGUUUUAUCUGGAAGGAUUCACACCAAUAUGUUGCCUAUGGAGUCUCCAGGAUGUGGAUCAACAGCAUGAAUACGCUUGUUGCUUUAUAAGCAUGUUCCUACAGGCAUUCUCUGUUUUAUUGCACUUCACAGAUAUUGUGCUUUUUACCAGUUGAAGGUUGGUAGCAACCUGCAUCGAGCAAAUCUAUUUGCACCAUUUUCCUGACAGCAUUUCCUCACUUUGUGUCUCUGUGUCACCUUUUGGCAAUUCUCGCAAUAGUUCAAACUUUUCCGUCAUUAUUGCAUUUGUUACAACGCUGAUCUGUGAUCAGUGAUUACAGCUCAGUGAAAGCUCAGAUGAUAGUAUGUUUUAGCAAUAAAAUGUUUUUGAAUUGA